UUAUUUUUAAAACCAUAAAGGGCCUCGCGCCCCUUGGUCCACGAGGUUUUUUUAAAGGAUUUACAAGUUUUGAUACUUACUCAAAUAUUCACAAAAAUAAAAUUAUUAGUAAA
Aricia agestis (brown argus) is the source of this 113-nucleotide long non-coding RNA. RefSeq lists it as uncharacterized. The record is from RefSeq and is a predicted model, not a curated record. NCBI's taxonomy places the organism in Eukaryota, Metazoa, Arthropoda, Insecta, Lepidoptera, Lycaenidae. The transcript has 3 exons.